This 501-nucleotide ribosomal RNA is filed under the name Klebsiella pneumoniae. RNAcentral's name for it is "bacterial SSU rRNA". It matches the Rfam family "Bacterial small subunit ribosomal RNA", at positions 202 to 698 of the family's 1533-position model. Lineage: Bacteria; Pseudomonadati; Pseudomonadota; Gammaproteobacteria; Enterobacterales; Enterobacteriaceae. The record is from RNAcentral.
UUCGGGCCUCAUGCCAUCAGAUGUGCCCAGAUGGGAUUAGCUAGUAGGUGGGGUAACGGCUCACCUAGGCGACGAUCCCUAGCUGGUCUGAGAGGAUGACCAGCCACACUGGAACUGAGACACGGUCCAGACUCCUACGGGAGGCAGCAGUGGGGAAUAUUGCACAAUGGGCGCAAGCCUGAUGCAGCCAUGCCGCGUGUGUGAAGAAGGCCUUCGGGUUGUAAAGCACUUUCAGCGGGGAGGAAGGCGAUAAGGUUAAUAACCUUGUCGAUUGACGUUACCCGCAGAAGAAGCACCGGCUAACUCCGUGCCAGCAGCCGCGGUAAUACGGAGGGUGCAAGCGUUAAUCGGAAUUACUGGGCGUAAAGCGCACGCAGGCGGUCUGUCAAGUCGGAUGUGAAAUCCCCGGGCUCAACCUGGGAACUGCAUUCGAAACUGGCAGGCUAGAGUCUUGUAGAGGGGGGUAGAAUUCCAGGUGUAGCGGUGAAAUGCGUAGAGAUC